This 764-nucleotide ribosomal RNA is filed under the name Acanthamoeba sp. CorSPUnB. RNAcentral's name for it is "bacterial SSU rRNA". The stretch from base 1 to 460 matches the Rfam family "Eukaryotic small subunit ribosomal RNA", at positions 750 to 1831 of the family's 1831-position model. The record is from RNAcentral. Lineage: Eukaryota; Discosea; Longamoebia; Acanthamoebidae.
GUUUACCGUGAAAAAAUUAGAGUGUUCAAAGCAGGCAGAUCCAAUUUUCUGCCACCGAAUACAUUAGCAUGGGAUAAUGGAAUAGGACCCUGUCCUCCUAUUUUCAGUUGGUUUUGGCAGCGCGAGGACUAGGGUAAUGAUUAAUAGGGAUAGUUGGGGGCAUUAAUAUUUAAUUGUCAGAGGUGAAAUUCUUGGAUUUAUGAAAGAUUAACUUCUGCGAAAGCAUCUGCCAAGGAUGUUUUCAUUAAUCAAGAACGAAAGUUAGGGGAUCGAAGACGAUCAGAUACCGUCGUAGUCUUAACCAUAAACGAUGCCGACCAGCGAUUAGGAGACGUUGAAUACAAAACACCACCAUCGGUGCGUGCCACCGAAUACAUUAGCAUGGGAUAAUGGAAUAGGACCCUCUCCUCCUAUUUUCAGUUGGGUUUUGGCAGCGCGAGGACUAGGGUAAUGAUUAAUAGGAGAUAGNUUGGGGGCAUAUAAUAUUUAAUUGUCANGAGGUGAAAUUCUUGGAUUUAUGAAAGAUUAACUUCUGCGAAAGCAUCUGCCAAGGAUGUUUUCAUUAAUCAAGAACGAAAGUUAGGGGAUCGAAGACGAUCAGAUACCGUCGUAGUCUUAACCAUAAACGAUGCCGACCAGCGAUUAGGAGACGUUGAAUACAAAACACCACCAUCGGUGCGGUCGUCCUUGGCGUCUCGGUCCUUCACGGGGCCGGGGCGCGGGGGCGGCUUAGCCCGGUGGCACCGGUGAAUGACUCCCUAGCA